CUCCUCCUCUCGCUCCUCCUGCUCGCCCGGCGCCCGUUUCUCUCGCUGCCGCUGCCGCUGCCGCCGCCGCCGCUUGUCUCUUCUCCCUCCUCCUCCUCCUCUUCCUCCUCCUCCCGCUCCUCGAUGCUCCGCCGCUCGCGGCUGGGGGGUCCGGGGCCGCGUCUCCUCUCCUCCCUCCGCCUCUCCUGUUUCCUCCUUCCUGCUGCCUCUUCUUUUAAAGCGGAUUCUUUGGCCACAAAUAGCAACUCGGCUGCCCCCCUCGGUGCCUCCCUCCCCUUCUUCUCUUCUUCCCCCCAAAAGUGAAGCGCACGCGAGGAGCUGAAAAGCUGUGCAGGGAUGAUGGACAUCUGCCCCCUGUGACUUAAGGAUGGAUCCAGAAAUCUCAGCCUCCCCAUAGGUAAAGAAACGAAGACCCUGAGAAUUUAAAAUCAUCCAACUAUUUGGUGCCAGAAGCAGGACAAGAACUCAGACAUGAUCCAGUGCCCUCCAUCCCACCAGCUAUUCAUCAUCACCUCCACAUUCUGGAUCAAAGAAGCCAGUUUUCCAACUUAUCAGUGAGCAAUACAUGUAGAAUAUUUAAAAACUCCAAAUACUUACAUGAAGGAAAAAUGAAGCAAUAGGACAAGACAUUUUCUUAGUUCCCUUCCAGCUCUAACAUUCUGUGAUAAAUAGCACACAGGAGCUUUGCUAUAGCACACCCCCCUCUAGUGCAUAAUUCAGCAUACGAUGAGUAUGAGUCUGUUUUGGACCCCAUCCAAAGGAGUUAGUUCCUAGAAGUACUUGGAAGAUUUAUUCUCAUUUAUCAUGAGGCAUCCUAACAGGAGACUAAAAAUAAUCAUGAUGACAAUAAUAGUAAUCAGUUGUUACACUUGUAUUAUGUACUAAGCAUCGUGCUAAGCAUGUUAUAGUUCACCCGUUUUUGAAAAGGCACAUCAUGACCUUGUGUGGGUUGCAAAUCUAGUGGGUCAUAAACAACUUCUGAAAUGAAAGAAAAGUAGGAAAAAACACAGAGUACAGUAUAUGUACUAAGUAUUUUUUUUUUUUUUUUUUUUUUUGCAAAACUUCCUUUUUGAUCAUGUGGCUAGUGAUUAAAAGUUUGAAAGCCACUGCCUCAUUUGCAAUCUUAACUGCCUUGCCAGUUAAGUAUUAUUAGCCCCAUUAUGUAAGUGAGGAAACAGGACAAGAGAGGAUAAGUCAUUUGGCCAAGCUGACAUAGUGAGUGGCCAACCUAGAAUUUUGAACCUAGAUCUGUUUGACUUCAAAUCCAAUAUUUUCACUUCUAUAGUGAUGAUAAAUUAUUAACCAAGGUAUGGAAUAAAUUGUUGCUAAUCAU
Molecule: long non-coding RNA, 1333 nt
Organism: Rhinopithecus roxellana (golden snub-nosed monkey)
Lineage: Eukaryota; Metazoa; Chordata; Mammalia; Primates; Cercopithecidae
Exons: 3
Source: RefSeq, a predicted model, not a curated record